UUACAGAGAAAUUCUUUCUUGAAUUCAAAAAUUGAAGUUAUUUUUGUAUGUGAAGAAACAACAAUAAAAAUUAAGGACAAGAAGACCCUAAGAAUUUUUUGAAAUUUAAGGAAUUAUUUUCUAUAAAUUUCUUUAAUUGGGGCGAUUAAUAAAAAUUUCAAACUUUAUUAAAAUAAAAACGAACCAAUAAUAUUGGUAAUAUGAAAAAAAUACUCUAGGGAUAACAGCGUAAUAAUUUUAGAUAGUUCUUAUAGACAAAAUAGUUUGCGACCUCGAUGUUGGAUUAGGAUACUUUUUUAAUGAAGAAGUUAAAAAAAGAAGUUUGUUCAACUUUUAAUUUCCUACUUGAUCUGAGUUCA
This 359-nucleotide ribosomal RNA is filed under the name Amblyomma calcaratum. Its description in RNAcentral is "partial 16S ribosomal RNA". The stretch from base 220 to 359 matches the Rfam family "Bacterial large subunit ribosomal RNA", at positions 2473 to 2613 of the family's 2925-position model. Lineage: Eukaryota; Metazoa; Arthropoda; Arachnida; Ixodida; Ixodidae. The record is from RNAcentral.